Long non-coding RNA from Betta splendens (Siamese fighting fish), 1021 nucleotides. RefSeq lists it as uncharacterized. Lineage: Eukaryota; Metazoa; Chordata; Actinopteri; Anabantiformes; Osphronemidae. The record is from RefSeq and is a predicted model, not a curated record. The transcript is spliced from 3 exons.
AAGGAUUGUUAAAUAUUGGAUGAGCUGAUUGACAUUUCACAUUCACAGACCCACACGUUUGGGGAUAAUGGCACCAGAUCGAAUGAUCCUAAAUGUACAGUAAAUGUCUGCUUUAUUCCUGGGUCGAUACUGUCUAACAUCUGGUCCACAGACGUCAGCAGAUCAGUCUGUAACCGUUUCCUCACCAACACCUGGACUUGGCUCACUGACACCAUGUUCAGCAACGAUAAAGGAUGGAGAGCAUUAAAGCUGAGCCUCAUUCAGGUCCAGAGAAUGUUACGACCUGCCUGGUAGCACAACCAAACUCACACGUCAACAACACGAAAAGCCUUGGACACGGUCCUUGUCGUGGCAACAGCUGGCAACUAGAAAGCCCACACACCACAACAACAACAGUUAAACAACACGCUCCUGCUGAUGGUCCUGCUCACACAGGUCGUCCCAUGAUGCCUUGCAGCCAACCAGGGGCUGUGGGAAUCCCAUCAGCAGUCGGUCUGACACCUACAGUACACCUGAACCUACUGAUGCUCUUCCAGAGGAUGCAUCGGCUCAGACCAUCCAGCUUCAGAGAAGUGUGGCGUGUUGUUCUACCCUUCAGCCUGAGAAGAUUCUACAGUGUCAUCGGUGGGUCACACUGCAGGUGAAUGGGGAGGGAGCUCUGCCCAGGGACCCAUCACAUCGAUGAUGCUGCAUGAAACAACUAUGAGCCAACUCAGCGCCCGUCAGUGACCAAGCAUCACUAACAUUUGUAACACUUACAAACACUAAUAACAGCCAGUGUGACAAGGCCGUUACUGCUCAGACUGAUAGCUAACAAUUACAGUACAUGUACAUGUGAUGUAGGUUGGGAGGAAGCCAUUACCAUGACAACAGAAGACAAAUGGUGGCCAUCAUUUAAGCAGCUAAAGCCUAAAACUCAAAAAAAAAAAAAAUGAGAGCAAGUCCUAAUGAGCUUUGUUAUAACAGAGAAAACAGCCUCGCUAAACUGUCCGACAACCUGACACUUUAACAAUGCCAUAAA